RNAcentral lists this non-coding RNA (484 nucleotides) under Pongo abelii (Sumatran orangutan). The record is from RNAcentral. Lineage: Eukaryota; Metazoa; Chordata; Mammalia; Primates; Hominidae.
CCCCUCCCCGCCCUGCCCCGGCGCAGGCGCGGCGGCUCCAGCCAGCGCCGCGGUCCUGGCUCUGGCCAGACGUGGGGGAAGCCGGCUGCGGCUGUCCCUCCCAGGCCGCGGUUCCCUAGCUCCCCCGCCCCCGUCCCGGCACCACCGCAGGGCCCAAAGGGCUGAGGCAGCACCUGCUGGGACGGGAGUCCCGGCGGCGGCAGCUCCAAGUCCAUCAUGAUGAGCUGUGGACCGUGUGUUGGGGAUCCCCGACGGCGGCCCUGUUCCGGCUGCCGAGGCGCGGCGCGGACAGGGCGGCUCUGGUGGCGGCGGCGGCGGCGGCGGCUUCUCCGGGCUCCCCGGCACUCGCUCAGGUCGUCAAAGGCAAACGGAGAAGUCCCUUUAGGUCGGAGAGUGGUCAGUAUUGCCCACCCAGAGCUGGGAGAAAAACGGGAACCCCAAGAGAACCUCUUCCCACCAAAGCACAUUCACCACGCCACAGAUG